CAUUGAACGCUGGCGGCAGGCCUAACACAUGCCAAGUCGAGCGGUAGAGAGAAGCUUGCUUCUCUUGAGAGCGGCGGACGGGUGAGUAAUGCCUAGGAAUCUGCCUGGUAGUGGGGGAUAACGCUCGGAAACGGACGCUAAUACCGCAUACGUCCUACGGGAGAAAGCAGGGGACCUUCGGGCCUUGCGCUAUCAGAUGAGCCUAGGUCGGAUUAGCUAGUUGGUGAGGUAAUGGCUCACCAAGGCGACGAUCCGUAACUGGUCUGAGAGGAUGAUCAGUCACACUGGAACUGAGACACGGUCCAGACUCCUACGGGAGGCAGCAGUGGGGAAUAUUGGACAAUGGGCGAAAGCCUGAUCCAGCCAUGCCGCGUGUGUGAAGAAGGUCUUCGGAUUGUAAAGCACUUUAAGUUGGGAGGAAGGGCAUUAACCUAAUACGUUGGUGUCUUGACGUUACCGACAGAAUAAGCACCGGCUAACUCUGUGC
This 487-nucleotide ribosomal RNA is filed under the name uncultured bacterium. RNAcentral describes it as "bacterial SSU rRNA". It matches the Rfam family "Bacterial small subunit ribosomal RNA", at positions 30 to 508 of the family's 1533-position model. The record is from RNAcentral.